RNAcentral lists this ribosomal RNA (483 nucleotides) under uncultured bacterium. RNAcentral's name for it is "partial 16S ribosomal RNA". It matches the Rfam family "Bacterial small subunit ribosomal RNA", at positions 28 to 507 of the family's 1533-position model. The record is from RNAcentral.
GAUGAACGCUGGCGGCGUGCCUAACACAUGCAAGUCGAACGGUGUCGUUUUGGAAAUCUCUUCGGAGAUGGAAUUCUCGACUUAGUGGCGGACGGGUGAGUAACGCGUGAGCAAUCUGCCUUUAAGAGGGGGAUAACAGUCGGAAACGGCUGCUAAUACCGCAUAAAGCAUUAAAUUCGCAUGUUUUUGAUGCCAAAGGAGCAAUCCGCUUUUAGAUGAGCUCGCGUCUGAUUAGCUAGUUGGCGGGGUAACGGCCCACCAAGGCGACGAUCAGUAGCCGGACUGAGAGGUUGAACGGCCACAUUGGGACUGAGACACGGCCCAGACUCCUACGGGAGGCAGCAGUGGGGAAUAUUGCGCAAUGGGGGAAACCCUGACGCAGCAACGCCGCGUGAUUGAAGAAGGCCUUCGGGUUGUAAAGAUCUUUAAUCAGGGACGAAACAAAUGACGGUACCUGAAGAAUAAGCUCCGGCUAACUACGUG